Long non-coding RNA from Homo sapiens (human), 1568 nucleotides. Ensembl annotates it as ENTPD1 antisense RNA 1. Its record names the gene ENTPD1-AS1. NCBI's taxonomy places the organism in Eukaryota, Metazoa, Chordata, Mammalia, Primates, Hominidae. The record is from Ensembl.
GCGUCACUUCCGGGAGACUCUGGCCGCGGCGAUUCAAUAUAUCCGGAAGCAACUGUCAUGGCUGCUGUCAGUGAGGGCCCGUAAUGGAGAUCGAGUCAAGGGUUGCCCAGGGACACUUAAGAGCCUUCGGCUUCAAGGAGGCCUCUCAAAGGACAAAGGAUGAGACUGCCUGGCGGCAGAGUGCCCCCCACAAUCGUAGGAACUGUGUCGCCGCGCUUCCCGUUAACUUGCCGCUAAGUUUUUCUAGAAAAGUCGCCCUUCUUGCCAGGGGUGUCCUAUAGACUUUGUCAUGGAGUGAAACAGAAACAAAUGUGAGUUAAUCAUUAACAUUUCCUAGUGGUUAAAAUUACUUUUUAAGCGCUUAACUGUGUAUUUUUUAGAUUGAAGAUUUCAAAUGAAAUUUUGAUUUGACUGAAAUAUUUAAUAUGUGAUGAGUUGAUAUUAAAAUACAGAAGAUUACUAUUUUUAUAGAAACAAUAAUGUAGAAACUAAUAUUUGAAGCAGGUUUACUCCACAUACUGUGUUAUAAUUUAAAUUUUCACUUAAACUCUCAAAAUCAGAAGAGCUGACCUAGUAAGGCUUAAACCUCUAAAACUUGUGGUUUUAACAAGGCUUAAUAUACGUAGUUAUAAUAGUUUUUAAAAAAAUUGUUAUCAAGUUCCUCAGGUGAUUCUGAUAUAGUAUUUUAAAGAAAGCAAAGAGAAAUGAUCUGUUUAUACAUUUUAAAUAUUUUGUUCCUUAUUUAUGUAUUGAGACUGUGCUUAUAAAUGCAUUCACACGCAUUGAAGUACAUAAUUUGAUCGUCAUGCCAGCCUGGAAUCUUGCUUUUUGUAUGGUUUCUUGCAGGUAGGUCUAUUGGGUUCUUGGCAUAGUACCUGGACAAAACAUUGUUAAGGUGGAAAUUUUCAUUGUAUUUAUCACUUCAAACACUUGACCAGUUUAUUUAGUUUUCAAGCGCUUUAGACAACUAUAUGUGGGCUUGACUUAGUGUAUAAUAAAUGUAAAGUUUGAUCUCAAGUAGUUGACAUUUAUGGAGUAUUUACCAUAUGCCAAUCUUUGUGAUAAUUGCUAGACAUAUUUUAUUUAAUGCUUACAGCAGUACUGUGAGUUAGGUUUGUUAAAUCCCUGUUUUAAUAGAUGGAGAAACUGAGGCAAGGACGGAUUAAGUUACAAAUCCGUCUUUGUAACUUAGAGCCAUCUUCUUACCUACUUGUUUUGUAUGACACCCUUUUCCUCCAUAUAACUGAACACUGGUAGAAGAGUGAAUGACUGUAGAAAACAGACCUGGACUCUAUUCUACCUGUCCAGCUUUGUAAACUAGGGCAAGUUGUGUGACCACUCUGAAUUUCAUUUUCCUCACCUAUAAUAAAUGAAAACUUUGAACUAUUAUGUUUUAUUGAAUCUUGAAUCAUCAGAAAUCCUUAAGGCUGGGUGUGGUGCUUCACGCCUGUAAUCCCACCACUUUGGGAGGCCCAGAUGGGAGGAUUGCUUGAGGCCAGGAGUUUGAGACCAGCCUGGUCAGUCAGCAUAGCGAUAUCCCAUCUCUACCACAAAAAAAAAAAAAAAAA